GGGGAUUUAGCUCAGUGGUGUAAGCGCCUGCCUGGCAAGCUCGAGGUCGUGAAUUCAAUCCCCG
Molecule: transfer RNA, 64 nt
Filed under: Cavia porcellus (domestic guinea pig)
Lineage: Eukaryota; Metazoa; Chordata; Mammalia; Rodentia; Caviidae
Rfam family: tRNA
About the family: Transfer RNA (tRNA) molecules are approximately 80 nucleotides in length.
Source: Rfam by way of RNAcentral